This 444-nucleotide ribosomal RNA is filed under the name Triticum aestivum (bread wheat). RNAcentral's name for it is "partial small subunit ribosomal RNA". Lineage: Eukaryota; Viridiplantae; Streptophyta; Magnoliopsida; Poales; Poaceae. The record is from RNAcentral.
AUGAUCUUGGAAUACAAGGUUAAAUUAGCUGAACAUGCAUAUGGGCCGGAGAAAUCAUGCAUGGACGUGGGACUCCUCUUGGUUGACCAAUGGGAAAAUGAGUUUGGCUCAUCCACGUACAUGACAGGUAACAAGGCAAGUCAGUUUGUAAAGGAAAGUGAUCAAAAGAGACAGGAAAAUAAAGACUGUUAUUUUUUUAGUCGGUCACGACCACCAGAAGUUGCUGAUGGUUUGCCUAACAAGCAUCGCUCGUGGAGAUUAUUCUCCCUGAAGGACACGGGCUGGGGUCGACCAACAUGCAUGGCAAUUAGAGAUAACGUGCAUGACACAAAUAUUAGAUACAUCUGUUUAAAUUUUUCUGGUUCUAGUCGGUUGGGUACUUUUCUUUUGGGUCAAGUCAGAGGUGCGUCUACUACUAUAAAGCUGAGCCUACGUGCUUUGUAG